This 292-nucleotide ribosomal RNA is filed under the name uncultured bacterium. RNAcentral's name for it is "partial 16S ribosomal RNA". It matches the Rfam family "Bacterial small subunit ribosomal RNA", at positions 505 to 796 of the family's 1533-position model. The record is from RNAcentral.
GUGCCAGCAGCCGCGGUAAUACGGAGGAUCCAAGCGUUAUCCGGAAUCAUUGGGUUUAAAGGGUCCGUAGGUGGAUAAUUAAGUCAGAGGUGAAAUCCUGCAGCUCAACUGUAGAAUUGCCUUUGAUACUGGUUAUCUUGAGUUAUUAUGAAGUAGUUAGAAUAUGUAGUGUAGCGGUGAAAUGCAUAGAUAUUACAUAGAAUACCAAUUGCGAAGGCAGAUUACUAAUAAUGGACUGACACUGAUGGACGAAAGCGUGGGGAGCGAACAGGAUUAGAUACCCCGGUAGUCC